RNAcentral lists this long non-coding RNA (1212 nucleotides) under Rattus norvegicus (Norway rat). RNAcentral's name for it is "long non-coding RNA NONRATT004495". Lineage: Eukaryota; Metazoa; Chordata; Mammalia; Rodentia; Muridae. The record is from RNAcentral.
GCAGAAGGAGGAGCGGCGACGUGUAGAGGAGCAACAGCGGCGAGAGCGAGAACAGCGCAAGCUGCAGGAGAAGGAGCAGCAGCGGCGGUUGGAAGACAUGCAAGCCCUUCGUCGAGAGGAAGAGAGGCGGCAAGCAGAGCGGGAACAGGAAUACAAGCGGAAGCAGCUGGAGGAGCAGCGGCAGUCGGAGCGGCUCCAGAGACAGCUGCAGCAGGAGCAUGCCUACCUCAAGUCCCUGCAGCAGCAGCAGCAACAGCAGCAGCAGCUCCAGAAACAACAGCAGCAGCAGCAGCAGCAGCAGCAGCAGCAGCAGCAGCAGCAGAUCCUACCUGGAGACAGGAAACCCCUGUAUCAUUAUGGUCGGGGCAUUAAUCCUGCUGACAAGCCAGCAUGGGCCCGAGAGGUGGAAGAGAGAGCUCGGAUGAACAAGCAGCAGAACUCUCCCUUGGCCAAGACAAAGCCAAGCAGUGCGGGGCCAGAGCCCCCCAUUCCCCAGGCCUCUCCUAGCCCCCCAGGACCUCUUUCCCAAACUCCUCCUAUGCAGAGGCCUGUGGAGCCUCAGGAAGGACCACACAAGAGCCUGGUGGCACACCGGGUCCCACUGAAGCCAUAUGCAGCACCUGUACCCCGAUCCCAGUCCCUGCAGGACCAACCCACUCGAAACUUGGCUGCCUUCCCAGCCUCCCACGACCCUGACCCUGCUGCUGUCCCCACACCCACUGCCACACCCAGUGCCCGAGGAGCUGUCAUCCGCCAGAAUUCAGACCCCACCUCUGAAGGGCCUGGGCCUAGCCCUAACCCUCCAUCCUGGGUCCGGCCUGAUAAUGAAGCUCCACCCAAGGUUCCUCAGAGGACCUCGUCUAUUGCCACUGCCCUUAACACCAGUGGGGCUGGAGGGUCCCGGCCAGCUCAGGCUGUCCGUGCCAGUAACCCUGACCUCAGGAGGAGUGACCCUGGCUGGGAGCGUUCAGACAGUGUCCUCCCUGCCUCCCACGGCCACCUCCCUCAGGCCGGCUCCUUGGAGCGGAACCGAAACCGUGUGGGAGCCUCCACAAAACUGGACAGCUCCCCAGUGCUCUCCCCUGGGAACAAGGCCAAGCCUGAAGACCACCGCUCAAGGCCAGGCCGGCCCGCAAGCUAUAAGCGAGCGAUUGGUGAGGAUUUCGUGUUGCUCAAAGAGCGGACUCUGGAUGAGGCCCCUAAGCCUCCCAA